RNAcentral lists this ribosomal RNA (1138 nucleotides) under Ornithinibacillus sp. RNAcentral describes it as "bacterial SSU rRNA". It matches the Rfam family "Bacterial small subunit ribosomal RNA", at positions 202 to 1329 of the family's 1533-position model. The record is from RNAcentral. Lineage: Bacteria; Bacillati; Bacillota; Bacilli; Caryophanales; Bacillaceae.
AAGGCGGCGCAAGCUGUCACUUACAGAUGGGCCCGCGGCGCAUUAGCUAGUUGGUGAGGUAACGGCUCACCAGGGCGACAAUGCGUAGCCGACCUGAGAGGGUGAUCGGCCACACUGGGACUGAGACACGGCCCAGACUCCUACGGGAGGCAGCAGUAGGGAAUCUUCCGCAAUGGACGAAAGUCUGACGGAGCAACGCCGCGUGAGUGAUGAAGGUUUUCGGAUUGUAAAACUCUGUUGUUAGAGAAGAACAAGUCGGGUAGUAACUGACCCGACCUUGACGGUACCUAACCAGAAAGCCCCGGCUAACUACGUGCCAGCAGCCGCGGUAAUACGUAGGGGGCAAGCGUUGUCCGGAAUUAUUGGGCGUAAAGCGCGCGCAGGCGGUCCUUUAAGUCUGAUGUGAAAGCCCACGGCUUAACCGUGGAGGGUCAUUGGAAACUGGAGGACUUGAGUGCACAAAAGGAGAGUGGAAUUCCACGUGUAGCGGUGAAAUGCGUAGAGAUGUGGAGGAACACCAGUGGCGAAGGCGACUCUCUGGUCUGUAACUGACGCUGAGGCGCGAAAGCGUGGGGAGCGAACAGGAUUAUAUACCCUGGUAGUCCACGCCGUAUACGAUGAGUGCUAGGUGUUAGGGGGUUUCCGCCCCUUAGUGCUGAAGUUAACGCAUUAAGCACUCCGCCUGGGGAGUACGGCCGCAAGGCUGAAACUCAAAAGAAUUGACGGGGGCCCGCACAAACGGUGGAGCAUGUGGUUUAAUUCUAAGCAACGCGAAGAACCUUACCAGGUCUUGACAUCCUCUGACACCCCUAGAGAUAGGGCUUUCCCUUCGGGGACAGAGUGACAGGUGGUGCAUGGUUGUCGUCAGCUCGUGUCGUGAGAUGUUGGGUUAAGUCCCGCAACGAGCGCAACCCUUGUCCUUAGUUGCCAGCAUUCAGUUGGGCACUCUAAGGAGACUGCCGGUGACAAACCGGAGGAAGGUGGGGAUGACGUCAAAUCAUCAUGCCCCUUAUGACCUGGGAUACACACGUGAUACAUUGCAAGGUACACAGUGGAGUUUGAUCGCGGGUUAGGAAGUAGUACCAAGGUACCCAGUAGAGUUUGAUCAUGGCUCAGGAAGUCGUAACAAGGUAACCAG